AUUCAGCUGAUGAGUUCAAAAUAGGAUGAAACACACGUUCUGGAU
Non-coding RNA from Schistosoma curassoni, 45 nucleotides. The record is from Rfam. Lineage: Eukaryota; Metazoa; Platyhelminthes; Trematoda; Strigeidida; Schistosomatidae.